RNAcentral lists this ribosomal RNA (253 nucleotides) under uncultured bacterium. RNAcentral's name for it is "partial 16S ribosomal RNA". It matches the Rfam family "Bacterial small subunit ribosomal RNA", at positions 524 to 776 of the family's 1533-position model. The record is from RNAcentral.
UACAGAGGUCUCGAGCGUUAGGCGGAAUCACUGGGCUUAAAGCGUGUGUAGGCGGACUUGUAAGUACCUUGUGAAAUCCCACGGCUCACCCGUGGAACUGCUGGGUAUACUGCGAGUCUUGAGCCACUUAGGGGCUGUCGGAACAGGCGGUGGAGCGGUGAAAUGCGUAGAUAUCGCCUGGAACGCCAAAGGUGAAAACAGACAGCUGGGAGUGUGCUGACGCUGAGACACGAAAGCCAGGGGAGCGAACGGG